RNAcentral lists this unclassified non-coding RNA (300 nucleotides) under Hevea brasiliensis (rubber tree). Lineage: Eukaryota; Viridiplantae; Streptophyta; Magnoliopsida; Malpighiales; Euphorbiaceae. The record is from RNAcentral.
UUAUAAAAUAAAAUAAAAUAAAAAUAAAGGAAGGCAUAUAUGUGUAUAUAAAACUACAGAUACAAAAUCCAAGGAUAGAUUACUGACAAACGGAAAACACCGAUAAACAAAGUUAGUUUUUGUAUAUUGAGCAUACACAAAACUGCAAGAAUCAAAAUUUUACUUCAUUCAUUUUGAACAAUAAAACUAACAAAAUAAACAAUAGAAUAAAAAUUAAUUAAACAAUAAAAUAGAUUAUAUAAUAAUAUCACUGAUUUUGAAAUUUAAUAACCACCAAAUGUAAUUAAUCCUAGAAAAAAA